Molecule: ribosomal RNA, 427 nt
Filed under: uncultured bacterium
Lineage: Bacteria
Description: bacterial SSU rRNA
Rfam family: Bacterial small subunit ribosomal RNA
Source: RNAcentral
UGGGGAAUUUUGGACAAUGGGCGCAAGCCUGAUCCAGCCAUGCCGCGUGCAGGAUGAAGGCCUUCGGGUUGUAAACUGCUUUUGUACGGAACGAAAAGACUCCUUCUAAUAAAGGGGGUCCAUGACGGUACCGUAAGAAUAAGCACCGGCUAACUACGUGCCAGCAGCCGCGGUAAUACGUAGGGUGCGAGCGUUAAUCGGAAUUACUGGGCGUAAAGCGUGCGCAGGCGGUUAUAUAAGACAGGUGUGAAAUCCCCGGGCUCAACCUGGGAACUGCAUUUGUGACUGUAUAGCUGGAGUACGGCAGAGGGGGAUGGAAUUCCGCGUGUAGCAGUGAAAUGCGUAGAUAUGCGGAGGAACACCGAUGGCGAAGGCAAUCCCCUGGGCCUGUACUGACGCUCAUGCACGAAAGCGUGGGGAGCAAACA